UCCCCUGAGAUGUGGGGCGUUUGCUCACCAUGGUGUUGCCGAGCCCCCACUCACAGGUAAAGCUCAUGAAAAGCAUCCGUGACUUCACUUCACGUCUCAGACCCAGAGCGCACUGGCGGGAGUGACGGCUGUCUCUCGAGCGGAACUGUGGACUCUUAGAUCCUCACAGGGCCGCCUUGUGCCCUGAGCUGACAGGGCCAGAUUUGUGCUUCGUACUGGAAAUGCCGCCUGUGCGGCCUGGCGUCCCGGCAGUGGCCUCCUCCUGAGCUCGGGGACAGAGACCUCUGCCUCUGAAGGCCCAGGCCUCACAGCCUGCAGAUGCUGCUGCCCGGAAGGGACCCAGCGUGGGGUAGCUCAGCAGGGGCAGGGCUCGGCACUGGGAGAGGAAUAAGAAGAAAUCCCUGAGGCCCAGGAGAAGGUAAAUCCCAGCGAGCUCAGCCGUGCGUCCUCUGGGACGGCUGCAUUGCCCUCACACCUGACCUCCAUGUGGGGCAAGCUCAGCCGUGCGUCCUCUGGAAUGGCUGCGUUCCCCUCACACCUGACCUCCAUGUGGGGCAAGCUCAGCCGUGCGUCCUCUGGGACGGCUGCAUUCCCCUCACACCUGACCUCCAUGUGGGCUUUCAUAGCUGGUUCACGGCUUUCUACGGCUUUUCCAAAUGUUCCAGCCUUUUCUGCCAUGUCUGUGCAAGAAAUCAGCCUAUACUGAAGUCAUUGCUGUUAAGAGAAUAAAAUAAAUACAAAA
Homo sapiens (human) is the source of this 742-nucleotide long non-coding RNA. RefSeq lists it as uncharacterized. The transcript has 3 exons. The record is from RefSeq and is a predicted model, not a curated record. NCBI's taxonomy places the organism in Eukaryota, Metazoa, Chordata, Mammalia, Primates, Hominidae.